Molecule: ribosomal RNA, 253 nt
Filed under: uncultured bacterium
Lineage: Bacteria
Description: partial 16S ribosomal RNA
Rfam family: Bacterial small subunit ribosomal RNA
Source: RNAcentral
UACGGAGGGAGCUAGCGUUGUUCGGAAUUACUGGGCGUAAAGCGUGCGCAGGCGGUUCGCCAAGUCAGGUGUGAAAUCCCCGGGCUUAACCUGGGAAUUGCGCUUGAAACUAGCGGGCUUGAGUGUGGCAGAGGGGGGUGGAAUUCCACGUGUAGCAGUGAAAUGCGCAGAUAUCAGGAGGAACACCGAUGGCGAAGGCAGGUCUCUGGGCAUUAACUGACGCUGAGGAGCGAAAGCAUGGGGAGCGAACAGG